UACGGGGGGAGCAAGCGUUGUUCGGAUUUACUGGGCGUAAAGGGCGCGUAGGCGGUCAGCACAAGUCAGUUGUGAAAUCUCCGGGCUUAACUCGGAAAGGUCAACUGAUACUGCAGUGCUAGAGUGUGGAAGGGGCAAUCGGAAUUCUUGGUGUAGCGGUGAAAUGCGUAGAUAUCAAGAGGAACACCUGAGGUGAAGACGGGUUGCUGGGCCAACACUGACGCUGAUGCGCGAAAGCCAGGGGAGCAAACGGG
Molecule: ribosomal RNA, 254 nt
Filed under: uncultured bacterium
Lineage: Bacteria
Description: partial 16S ribosomal RNA
Rfam family: Bacterial small subunit ribosomal RNA
Source: RNAcentral